This 133-nucleotide microRNA precursor is filed under the name Callithrix jacchus (white-tufted-ear marmoset). Its description in RNAcentral is "microRNA cja-mir-3544 precursor". Lineage: Eukaryota; Metazoa; Chordata; Mammalia; Primates; Cebidae. The record is from miRBase by way of RNAcentral.
GAGGAGGGUCCGGGGCUGCGCGUGGUUGAAGGGAUGAAGAAAGGCAUCAUAUAGGAGCUGGAUAACUGUGCAUCAACUCCUGUAUGAAGCCGUUCCCACCCCCCAACUACUGACUACGGUCGCAACCCUCCUC